RNAcentral lists this ribosomal RNA (517 nucleotides) under Cornufer trossulus (Torakina sticky-toed frog). Its description in RNAcentral is "partial 16S ribosomal RNA". The stretch from base 158 to 517 matches the Rfam family "Bacterial large subunit ribosomal RNA", at positions 569 to 1077 of the family's 2925-position model. Lineage: Eukaryota; Metazoa; Chordata; Amphibia; Anura; Ceratobatrachidae. The record is from RNAcentral.
CCAAUAUCUAGCUUACCCCCCCCCCAUAAAUAUAUUUACCUCUAAACAAAACAUUCUUACUGUCUAGUAGGGGAGACUGAAAAAUACAUAAACGCUUCAAAAUAAGUACCGCAAGGGAAUGAUGAAAUAAUAAUGAAAUACUUACCAAGCUCAAAAUAGCAAAGCUACCCCUUGUACCUUUUGCAUCAUGGUCAAGCCAGUUCAACUAAGCAAACCGAAAUUUUCAGCUUAGCCUCCCGAAACUGGGGGAGCUAUUUAAAAACAGUCACUAGGACAAACCCGUCUCUGUUGCAAAAGAGUGGGAUAAUUUUUUAAUAGCAGUGAAAAGCUAACCGAACCCAGAGAUAGCUGGUUAUCCAAGAAAAGAAUUUAAGUUCAACCUUAAGCUUAUCAAUUAACUAAAACAAGAUUUUAAACUUAAGAGCCAGUCAAAUAGGGUACAGCUUAUUUGACCUAGGACACAACCUCAUAUAUAGGGUAAUUUCUAAAAAUCCUCAAAGUAGGCCUAAAAGCAGCC